RNAcentral lists this ribosomal RNA (490 nucleotides) under uncultured bacterium. RNAcentral describes it as "SSU rRNA". It matches the Rfam family "Bacterial small subunit ribosomal RNA", at positions 26 to 518 of the family's 1533-position model. The record is from RNAcentral.
AGAUUGAACGCUGGCGGCAUGCCUUACACAUGCAAGUCGAACGGCAGCACGGGAGCAAUCCUGGUGGCGGAGUGGCGGAACGGGUGAGUAAUACAUCGGAACGUGCCCAGUAGUGGGGGAUAACCCGGCGAAAGCCGGACUAAUACCGCAUACGACCUACGGGUGAAAGCAGGGGAUCGCAAGACCUUGCGCUAUCGGAGCGGCCGAUGUCAGAUUAGCUUGUUGGUGGGUAAAAGCCACCAAGGCGACGAUCUGUAGCUGGUCUGAGAGGACGACCAGCCACACUGGGACUGAGACACGGCCCAGACUCCUACGGGAGGCAGCAGUGGGGAAUUUUGGACAAUGGGCGCAAGCCUGAUCCAGCCAUGCCGCGUGCGGGAGACGGCCCUACGGGUUGUAAACUGCUUUUGCAGGGGAUAAACCUCAGUACGAGUACUGAGCUGAAUGUACUCUGAGAAUAAGGAUCGGCUAACUCCGUGCCAGCAGCCGG